UCCCCAUGUGGCUGGAACCCAAGGUGGCUCUCUCAUUCUGGAGGUGGGCUGUGGGUCAGGAGCUGUUUUGCUCAGCCUGUUGAAGCAGCUUCAUGAGAGCCAAGUCAUUGCUGUGGAUCAGGACAAAGCCUCCAUCAGACUGACCCAGAACAAUGCUCAAAGAUAGGCUUUAUCUGUUGCAGGACAGAAUUCGGAUCAUCCCCCUGGAUGUGACCUUAGGUACCCUCCCUCAUCCACCUCCCUUGGGGUCAAGAUCCUGGAUGCACUCCCUGCUGGGAGGAGGAGGCAUCACAGAG
Molecule: long non-coding RNA, 296 nt
Organism: Dipodomys ordii (Ord's kangaroo rat)
Lineage: Eukaryota; Metazoa; Chordata; Mammalia; Rodentia; Heteromyidae
Exons: 3
Source: RefSeq, a predicted model, not a curated record